AUUGAACGCUGGCGGCAUGCUUUACACAUGCAAGUCGAACGGUAACAGGGUGCUUGCACCGCUGACGAGUGGCGAACGGGUGAGUAAUGCGUCGGAACGUGCCGAGUAGUGGGGGAUAACGCAGCGAAAGUUGUGCUAAUACCGCAUACGUACUGAGGUAGAAAGUGGGGGACCUUCGGGCCUCACGCUAUUCGAGCGGCCGACGUCGGAUUAGCUAGUAGGUGAGGUAAAGGCUCACCUAGGCGACGAUCAGUAGCGGGUCUGAGAGGAUGAUCCGCCACACUGGGAGUGAGACACGGGCGAGACUCCUACGGGAGGCAGCAGUGGGGAAUUUUGGACAAUGGGCGAAAGCCUGAUCCAGCCAUGCCGCGUGUCUGAAGAAGGCCUUCGGGUUGUAAAGGACUUUUGUCAGGGAGGAAAUCCCUAGUGCUAAUAACACUGGGGGAUGACAGUACCUGAAGAAUAAGCACCGGCUAACUACGUGCCAGCCGCCGCAGUAA
This 500-nucleotide ribosomal RNA is filed under the name uncultured bacterium. RNAcentral describes it as "partial 16S ribosomal RNA". It matches the Rfam family "Bacterial small subunit ribosomal RNA", at positions 30 to 523 of the family's 1533-position model. The record is from RNAcentral.